RNAcentral lists this non-coding RNA (31 nucleotides) under Macaca fascicularis (crab-eating macaque). RNAcentral also lists the same sequence under 1 other name. Lineage: Eukaryota; Metazoa; Chordata; Mammalia; Primates; Cercopithecidae. The record is from RNAcentral.
UCCUGAUGGGAGGAGCAGAGGUGCUCAGGGU